AGUUCCCAGGCUAGGGGUCGAAUCAGAGCUAUAGCUGCCAGCCUAUGCCAGAGCCACAGCAAUGCAGGAUCUGAGCUCCAUCUUCGACCUACACCACAGCUCACCGCAACACUGGAUCCUUAACCCACUGAGCGAGGCCAGGGAUCGAACCCUCAACCUCAUGGUUCCUAGACGGAUUCGUUAACCACUGAGCCACAACGGGAACUCCUGGAACUCCUAGCUUUUAAUGGGAUUCUUCUUUUUCAUGACCCAUGGAGUGUCCCUGUGUAUCUUCAUUUGCAGCCAUUCUUUAAGCAAAAAGUGGACCACUAAAUGUACCUUUUUUUGCAACUUCUCAUCAGUCUAUAAUUAUUUCAAAGUAAAAAGUUUUAAACUAUUGCCAAAUUUCCAUCUUGCCUGGGAAAUUUUUGCAGCUGGUAAUUUUUAACCAAUCAAGGUUCUUUUUGGGGAAUUGGCCAUCAGUUUGAAGAAUCACUGAUGUGAGAUGGGCACAAUGUGUCAGCCUACAAGGAACAACAAAGCACAUUCACAGACCUGCAUCAUAAGGUCCACCCCAUGGCCUUCUCCAGCAUCCAGCUGAGGGCCACGCUGCCUUGAAAAAGCCUCUUUAGAAAUGAAAGUUAACUUGUCGUGGAAGAAUCUCUACUAUCUCUGGUGCCACUAAUCCUCCUGAACAAGAAGAACUCAUCAGGGCACAGAAUGAGCCUGAGACAGAGUCCUUCAGUGGGUGGGGAGGAAUUAGCCAUGCUCCUUGUCUGGCUGCUUACUGCCUCUGAUAUUUACUGAUAUGUAUCAGUUCCAAAUCCUGACAAAGACAGAUCACAGGACUGCUGGGUUCUGGGAACAGAGUGUGCAAUAGAAAAGCCAAACAAUCUUAUGUGGAAGGUCAAGGCCAGUCCUGAGCAGAGCCUGUCCCUUGUCCUCGGGGGAACAGCGUGCAUGGUCACCCAGAAAAUUUACUCUCUGUAAAACACCUUGAGCACCUAGGAAUAGUUCCUGAAAUAAGACACUGACAUGAAGAACAGAAGGAGGCUAAAGGAAGUCAUUAAAAGAUUUGUUCUGCAGGCACCUGUCUGAAAUGCAAUCUUUGCCCCUUUUUUUAAAGAGGGAAAGGAGGGAAGCAAAGGACUCCAUAGCUUCACCUACUUAAUGAGGCUGAUCCUGGAAGUGCGUGGAACUCAUUUCAGCCCAUCCUGCCCAGAAACGCUCUGGCAAAUAAAGGAGGUUUGUCCCCAGUGGGUAGCAGAGGAACCUGUUGAAGGCGGUUAUUUGGAAGAAGGCUGAGACUUUGAAAAGAUAGUUGUGUGCUGCACACAACAUAAACUCAGAGGGAGAAGAAGAUCUGCUAGCAGAAACUGGGAAGAUGAAUGACAGGGCAGGGAAUACAAAGAGCUCACACACAAGCCAUUUCACAGGCCACCCCGAAACUGCCCAUUCAUCUUGUGCCUUCAGCCUACCAAAAGCCCUGCUGGCCUCUCUGGAAAUAGAUUGCUAAAUAGCCUGAGCUUUUUUUGGUUUGUAGAAUUGGUGAAUCAAAGGGGCAGCAGAUUUAUUUUAUGCCUCUGAAGAUCAUUUAUAACAUGGCUAAGUGGCCCAGGGUAAAAACCACAAUAAAGGUGAUUCAUGCAGGAAACCCAUUCUGUUGAGGCAGAGAUGAAAAUCCCCAUUAAAUCACAGUCUAUUCCGUGCACGGGGUCGGAGUAGGGUGGCGUUGGAGUGAGCCAAGCUCAGUGGAUUCCCAGGCACACUGAAGGCUGAAUGCAAUUGUUCUUGUAAAAUGGGAAAAUGAGACUCCUUUAAAGGGAGAAUGCAGCCUCCAGCCUUGAGCAGGGCACUCCAGACAGGGGUGAGCUGCCCAGUGGCCCUGCCAAGUGGCCGUCUGGGACUAUAUUCCCAGAUGGCAGCCAGCCUGGAGAAUCUAUUGAAUUAUCACCAGUUCCUUGCCAGGAGGUUUUUCAUCAGCUCCACCAUUUAUCAAGACAAAUGGACCCCAUACAAAAAGCCACCUUUGCAAAUUACCCUUAAAGGGGCAUCUGUGUGACGGGAGUUAGGGACGUCUUCUGCUUCUUGGCAGUUGAACUCAACUGCAAAGUUAUUGUAUUUUCUCCUGGCUGGGAUCACCUGAGAGAGCCUCACCUUCACCUUCCCUACUCGCCCUGAAAAUCUAACGUAUUAAAAAUGACGUACGUGCAAGAGCAGGUCAGGUCAGAGGGCAUGUGUGAACCCACUAUUUUCCAGGUGACCUCUCUUUGUGACAAAAAUUCUUCUCAGCUUCUUUCUCUUCCUUCAGCUGGCGCGGCAUUUCUUCCUUUUCCCUUCUGCUAUCUAAUCACUUUUCACUCCGAGGCAUUGGUAAGAAUCAAGUCAAGUGCUUUCUGAGUCCAGAUCCUCACUUUUUCAGUGAGAAGUUGACUGGGGCCACAUCAAAAGGCACCCCCCCCACUUUUUUUUUUACAAAUUAACCAAAAAUGUAGAUUCUUUUUAGUACAUCUAAUGUGGGGUUUUCCUUCUCCAUCGGUUCUUUCCCUUGCCUUGGCCUUUAUUCACACAGUACGGUUGCAACUUCAAAUAGUCAUUCCCGGUGAAAGACCUCUCACACAAGCUGGCUGACAGCAAGGAAUCUGAAAUGGAGACAAUCCGUAACUCCACACAGAUCAGGGUGGUACUGGCCAUAAAUCAUGGGUCCUCUUCUGUUGUCUUUAUUGAAUGCUGACAGUGGUCAUUGUGAUACAUUCUAAAGGGUGGUCCACGCAGCAUGUCCAGAGCUGUGAUAAAGGCAGGAAUUCCAUCCACAAUGAAUUUAGCAAAGACAAAAACCUCAUCAAAGCAAAGCCCCUUCCCUGAGAAAAAGUAAAAUCUGUUAACUUGUUACACUUUUGUCAAAAGUGCUGAUUUCCAUAGAGGUAACUGUCAGCCAUUGUGCUUAUGGACAAAACACCUGAAAAACAGAUUUAGAUGAGAACUGGUGGCUUUCUUCAAAAAUAAUUCCUGUCUAUUCUUAUGCCGGGAAGGGAUGCGCUGCAAACAUUAGCAGUAAGGAUGGUUUAUUUUAUGGGAAAAGCAAUCUGGUAGAUUUCAGACAGAACACUAAACUUGUGUGGUCAUGCAAAUCUCAUAAGCAUGAACUAAAACAUGCCGAGUACAUCAAUUAACCAGAGCUCCUAUUAGAUUUUUUUUUUUUCCUACAAAAAUGGUUUCUCAUCUCAAAACAUCUUUUAAGUUGUUUCCCUUUCAAAGACUAAGGAUGUGCUUGUGGUAACAGACUGCUUCUCAUCACUAUUUGGAGAGAAUUGAUCUAAUGAAGAGUUUCUAUUUAGGAAGAAGCAGUAGGAGGAAAGGGCAACCUAGCUUUGGAGCUUCCACUAGGCUGGGUGGAGUUUCGCAGGCUGAAGAAGCAGCUGGAAAUUCGGAUGACAGUUUUGAAAGAUGGAUGAUCAGGAAAAGGUCACCGAAAUUGAAAUGGUGGGUGGAAAAGUGGAGCAGGCCAGGAGAAGGUGGCAAAACUGAAUCAUCUCAUGCGUGUUAAAGCUUUUAAGGAACUCUUUUCUUUUUACUUCAAACAGUUUGCUAUUCUCCCUAGUGACUAACUGUCCCAUGAACUGAAUAGACUACUGGCCUUUUUUCUCCCACCCAAACCAAUUCUAAAAGCAAUUUUUUAAAUCCAGUGUAUAUGAUAAAAGAUAUACAAGACCUGAGUCAAAUUGUGAAUGUGUGUCUUUUGCUUAAGUAUGAAUUUUUUAAGGUGAAUGUUUGUUCCCAAACUACCUUAAAAACAAUGUGUGUAUUGACAAAACUAACUAUAACUUAGAAAAUUCCUUUGGCACAAGCUGGCAUGAUCAGCCACAAAAUCUUCUUCUGACUUAAAAGCUGAACCAAAUAAAACUUGACAGCAAGGCACAAUAUUUUAUAGGCAAAGUGACAUUUUAUAAUAAUGGAAUAAUAAAUGCAGAAGGGAAAAUGAAGCAAGGCUGAAAUAUCAUCUCAGACCCAUUGGCUACCAAAGAGGGGUGAAUCUCAGUUAGACCUUUCCUAUUCCUAUUGCACUAGUAAUUAUGGCAUGACUGAAGCACUCUUAAACUUAGAGAACGCCAAUAUUUCUAAUCAUGUUGUCACAUAUCUCCCAUCACUUGUUUCUAUGAGAAUCUGAUGAUACAGUGUGGAAGCCUUGGUAGCAUGCUGAAGUGGAUGGAAGAAAGCGAUGGAAAAAUCACAGGACCACUUUAUCAAGCACUUCGAUUUGGAACCAAAUCCAGCAAUGUUUAAGUCAUCCUGAUGAACACAGUCAACCCAAAGCAUAUCUACAAUUUGACAUAAAUCAGAUUACAAAUGGAAUGAAUAAAGACCACAAAAUGUGUUUUGGGUUCACAAUGGACUCCAGACUGGAAAAAGCCCAUCAGUCCUCAUUUUCUUCACUUAGAAAGAGACCUUUCCACAAAAGGAUGAUGUUGGCGUAAUGGAGAAAAUAAACCGAGGCAACAAGGAACUUACAAUCAUCAAAUUUGUAGGUAAAACAAUGAUUCAAUGUAUUUGUUACUGAUUUAUGUGAUAGACAUUUAUUGAUGCCCACUCUAUCCAGGGUUCUUUGGGAGGUGAUGGAGGACAAGUGGAAAUGACCCAAGUAUCUUACUUCUAGAUUUUCAGUUUCACUGGGUCUGGCGAAGGGCCUAGAAACAGGUCAUUUUUUUAAACUACUAAGAUGAUUCUAAGGAUAAGCAAGUUGGGAACCCAUGGUCUGAAACUGAUUCUUAAUCUGUAUUGCCUGGUAGGUCAGAGAGAGAAUAGUAGGGAGGAAUUAGAGCUGAUGCAGAGAGCACUGGUCCUAACUCUGGUCUCCAUGCCUGUAGGACAGUAUCUAUAGCAUGUGUUACUGGGGAAAAGACUCAGGACUUUUGAUCCAAACACAAUUUUACUGCUUAGAAGCUGAGUGACCAAGGCAUUCAACUCCUUGAAGGGGUAAUUAUACCCACUUUCAGAAUCAUGAAACACUCCAAAUGAGAGCAUAAUGAGGCUCUGCCCAAUGCCUGGUUCAUUGUGAGGCUGUGUUUCUGUCCUUUCUUGCAAGUGGCUUACCCUCUCUUUUUCCCUUUUUCCUUUAAAAAAUUGUUUUCAUUCUUCACAACCCAAUCCCAACCCACAUUCUCCAUAAAAGCCUCUCAACAUCCCACCACCCCAUCCUCUAAGGCUCACUGAUUCCCUCUGUCCUCCUUCAGCCUUUAUAUUCAGGAUCACACAAUCUGAUGCUCAAUUGCCCUUUCAUUAGUUCAUGAGGAUCGCUUUGGCUUUCCUGGCUGGGUCCUCCCUGAGCACUUGGACCAUGUUUUCUUCCAUAGAUAUACAAAAAAAUUACUUGCUGGUUGGUCAAAAGUACCUGUUGGGCUGCUGCCUAAAGAGGGGAGGGGACACCCUCACUUUUCUGUCGACCUAAGGCAGUGGGGACUGGCCAUCAUUGCUACCGCCUCUGACAGGCAUUAGUAUUCUGAAAUAAUCAUCAGAAUGCCAGUCUCCUUCCACUCCCACUCACUUAUUUUGUUGGAAAAAUGCAAAACCUGCAUUUUCUCAUAAACCAGAUUUUACUCUAUGCUAGGAGUGAAUGCACCCUCUGUGUUUAGCAUCCCAAUGUGAUAAUUAUGCAUUAUGCUUACUCUAUGGCUAAAUCCUACAUUUCUAUCCUAAAACACAAGGGAAUGACUAAAUACUCUAGUGUGUUAUCUGGCCCUUCCUUUCCAUUGUGAUUUUUUUCUUAUCAUCCAGAUUGCUCCCAUGCUGAACUGUGCCUAUAAAAAUAACUGAGAAACCUCACAUGUGUAUGUAACUUGAAAGGUGAGUGACAAGAAGAGGUGAAUUGCAGGGACAUCGGUGACAGAAAACACAUGAUCAUAUUGGGAAGAGGUAGCAGUGUGUGCAUGUGAGCGUGUGCACGUGUGUGUGUGUGUGUGUGUGUGUGGCAGUAUGCCUAUGGAGAAAGCAGAUUUUUUUUUUUUACUGGAAAACAAAAGCUGUGUUAUGUAAGCAGCACGGUUUGAAAUGGCUUGUAUAGCAAGAAUGGAAACAAGGUAUGAAUAUUCAUAAGUAAAAUGGAAGACGUGUUCAUUUGUAGGAGGAAGUGAAGAUGAAAUUCUGAAUAUUAUUUGACCACAAUUUUAUGCAGAAUGCUUUAGAUGUGUAGAUCACAUAAUACAUAAUACAAAUUCAAAACCAACUAACCUCAUUGCCUAUAUUUCCCCCUUCUUCACACUAAUAACCAGUUUGUUAAUAUUUCCACAUAUUAUUCAGGCAAUUUGUCUUAAACAAAUUUGAUUCUUGUAUUGUUGAAGACAGAAAAGUGAAAGAAGAAAGAAAUAAUGAAAACAAGAACCAUAACCAAAAAUUAACUCCAAAUAAAUCGAAGGAUUAAACAUAAGAGCCUAAACUACAAAAUUCAUACAAGAAAACAUGAGGGUAAAUGUUUGUGACCUUGAGUUGGAUAGUGGAUUCUUAGGUAUGACCCCGAAACGUAAGCAAGAUGAGAAGAAAAAAUAGAAGUUGGACUUCUUCAAAAUUAAAAACUUACAGGUUUUCAACAGACACUAUCAAGAAAGUGAAAAUACAACCCGCAAAACAGGAGGGAAGAUUUGCAAGUCAUAUAUCUGAUAAAAGACCUUCCAUCUAGAAUAUGUAAAGAACUCAUAGCUCAGUAAUAAGAAGUAAUCCAAUUAAAAAUGGGCAAAGCAUCUGUACAGACAUUUCUGCAAAUGGCCAGUAAGCACAUGAAAAGAUGCUCAACAUCACUAGUCAUCAGAGAAAUGCAAAUCAAAACCUCAAUGAGAUUCUACUUCACACACACUAGAAUGGCAAUAUAGGCAUACCUUGAAUAUACUGCACUCUGAUAAAGCAAUUACCUCAAUAAAGGGAAUCAUACUAAAUUUUUGGUUUCCCAGUACAUAUAAAAGUACAUAUGUCUACACUACACUGUAAUUUAUUAAGUGUGCAAUAGCAUUAUAUCUAAAAAACCAUGUACAUACCUUAAUUUAGAAAUAUUCCAUUGUUAAUCAUCAUCUGACAACGCAGGUUCCAUGAACCUUUUAAUUUGUAAAAAUGCAUCAUCUGUGAAGCACAAUAAAGUGAAGCACAAUAAAAUGAGAUAUGCCUGUAACCCAAAGUCAGAUAACAAGUGCUGGUGAGGAUGUGGAGAAAAUGCAACCUUCAUAUCCUCUAGGGGGAAUGUAAAAUGGUAUAGCAACUUUGGAAAACAGUUUAGCAGUUCCUGAAACAGUUAAACAUAGAAUUAACAUUUGACUCAGUAAUUCCACUCCAGAUAUAUACCCAAAAGAAAUGAAAACAUAUGUCCACACAAAGACUUGUACACAAGUAUUAGUAACGGCACUAUUGAUAAUAGCCUAAGUGUAGAAACAACUCAAAUCUCCAUCAGUUGGUGAAUGGAUAAACAAAAUGUGGUUAUUCAGGCAAUGGGAUGUUAUUCAGCCAUAAAAAGGAAAUGAGUACUGAUCUCAUGCUGUAUCAUGGAUGAAUCUUGAAAACACUGUGCUAAGUAAAAGAAGCCAGUCAUAUAAGACCACAUAUCAUACAAUUCCAUUUAUAUGAAGUGUCCACAAUAGGCAAAUUUCUAGAGAUAGAGAGUAGAUUAGUGGUUGCUUAGGUCUGUGGAGAAUGUAAGGGUGAUAACUAAAAAGAUAUGGGCUUCCCUUUUGAAGUGACAGAAAAUGUUCUAAAAUUGACUACGAUGACGGUUGCACAACUCUGUGAAUAUACUAAAUAAACACUGAACUGCAUACUUUAAAUGUGUAAUGUAUAUGAAUUAUUAUUUCAAUAAAACUUUGCAAAAGAGU
RNAcentral lists this long non-coding RNA (7826 nucleotides) under Sus scrofa (pig). RNAcentral describes it as "lncRNA (ENSSSCG00025018899.1)". Lineage: Eukaryota; Metazoa; Chordata; Mammalia; Artiodactyla; Suidae. The record is from RNAcentral.